AUAAACAAUUUGUUUUAGCUGUCUGGAUCACCAUACUGCCUUAUCCAAGUACCUGGCUCAGUUUCCUGGAUCUCUUCUUGGCGUGUUGUUGACAAAUGGGUGGUCUAUCUUACUUGUAUACACCUUAACACCACGGAAAGGAUCCACAGCUAAACCAUAGAGUCAGUGAACUGUGCGCAGAUGGAGAACUGAGAUGGUUUGUUGUUUUAGUGGAAGUUCCUGAGAAAGAUUGGCCACCCACUUAAUUGCAAUCCAAUGAUAUCCAAUCCUUGGUCAAAGCUAGCUUUGCAAAACUCAUUUUGCUCCUUGUUAUGAACGGUUUAAUUAAAUUAAUGGAAGUUUUGUAUUUAUUCAGGCUGGAAAGUGGGCAGAGUUGCCUCACACAUCAGGCAGGAAUGAAAGCCAGUAGCAAAAAUCUCAGUGCAUAAGCAAACUCAAAGCUCCCACAACAGAUAUUUUAGAGGCAGUCCCAGGCUGUUGAAUUGCUUCGGUACAACAAUUUUCUAUAAUUGAUAAUUAACAUGAAGGAAAUUACACUGACAUGUCUCUGAGACACUUUUAAAAUUUGCCUUUGGGGACAUGGAAUGUGGUCAGAGGAAGCACGUUGUAAAUUCAUCUUCAUUUUAAAGAAUCUGCUGCCAGGAAGACAAUUUUUGCAGCAUUUCAAGUGAGGAAAAUGGAAACGUAGGGAAUGAGUUUUAGGGACAAAGUGUCUUGUCUUGCAAGUGAAUUUUGCAAAAUCCUUUUGCUGAGGCCUUGUAUUUGCAAGACAAUUAUUCUCAUCAUUUGCUAUGAGGAAAUGAAGAAAGCUUUAAAAAUGGAAGACAAAUGUGGCUUAAAAUCACAUUCUGACCCCAUUUUCAUGCCACUUGUCUCCCAGAAUGUUCAAGAUAGCAGCAAGUACUUCCAAAAUAGUUCAACACGCAGGACAUUACCUGCUUUUGGAAGGGAAAAAAUGCACUUAGCAGAGGCAAACCUUUAUUUAAUUAACCGCAGUGUAAAGGUUUCUUGUAUUCCUUUGCAGUUACACAGCCAUGAGAGACUGUGGAGUACCUGAAGGGUAACUCCUACUGGGACUAAUUCAGUCCAGACAGCUUCAAGUAUGUUCAUUAAGCUCUGGCUGGGUUUCACACAGGUGGGGAAGGUUAGAAGGCAACAGAUAGAGAAUGGUACUGAUUGUGUUAAGCAUAAAACACCAUCUGUUUCAUAAGUAAGACGGGAACAAAAUCUGCACGUCUUGAGGGAUACUAUCCCGCUGCUAGAAGUCAGUGCUCUUUUUUAUUUAUUUUUUAUUUUCUUGCUACAUUUUCAAGCUUCAGCAUAAAGCAGUUAGAACGUAGAAAUGGUCAGCUCAUAAAUCAGGGGGCUGUUGAAAAGAUGCUGAAGUUUAAAUUACCACAGGGCCUCUUGGACCUGUAACAUGUCAGGAAAAGAGGGAAUUUUAAAUGAGUAUUGUGGUUGGCAUGAGAGAAGAUAGAAUGAAUUUCAGUUCCCAAUGUUUUUAAAUAGAGGAGUACACGCUUAAAUAUCAACAAAUGUGAUGGUGAAAAUGUUCUUCCUUGACUAUUGCUUUCUUCUCAAUUUCAAAUGACCAAGUGGAAAAAAAAAAAGGUUUUGGAAUGGCACAGUCAAUAGGACAGCAUAUUAACUUCUUUGUUAUCGAAUCAGAAAACUUUCUUGAGGGUUGCUGGUUAUGAAGAAGCAUUACAAGCAAAGAUACAUGGCUGAAUGCCAAUGUGACUAAGCUGCAGAGCUAUGUGGAUGCUGUGGGCCCUGCACAUGGCCGCAAGGGGAAAGGGGCAAUGCUCCUCUGUGCUGUAUAUGCAGAAAAUUCUGCAUGGGAAAAGCUGUGGGUGGGAGCAGAUAGCUGCAAACUUCUGAAAGAGAAGGUGUGUUGGAAUGUUAAAAUGAAAGACAAAGAUUUCAGAAGAUCUUGAAGACGAUGAUGUGCUCAGAAAUCAUCUGCCCAUAUGAAGUGCUUCUUCCUGAAUCCAAAGGCUGAAUGUAGGGCCCUGCUUGCUGACUCUCCCAAUGACUUUGCUGAGGUUUCCAUGCCCAACUCUUGUGAGAUGUACCAGCCGUGGGAGGCAGCGGUCCGCCCUCUGUUCCUGGUGAUGUCUGUGUCCACUGGAGACAAUGAGAUUACUCUAGACUGAAAUUGAAGCCUUCUGUCUUAUACAGCAGUGUUUUUAUUGAAACCGUAAAUCUGCAAAAUGUUUUGGAGUUGCCAAAGUGCUGUUUUUCAUUUAGGCUCCAACCAACGAAAACAAGUGCCGACUGUAUUGGGAAGUUUUAACUUCUGAGACUUUGCUUCUGUUUUAACUGGGAAUUGUAUUACAGUUUUUUGUUUGCUUGUUUGUUUGUUUUGGUUUUAAAUCUUUAUUUCAUUUGAAAUAGCAUGAAUUUUCUUGGGAAAAAAAGAAAAUCCUUCAGUCUGCCAGAAAAACCUUUUUCCUUUUUGGAAACUUCAUUUGCUCUUUUACAUAUGGAAUUUCUGAAAGAACUGUAUUCCUGCUGUUUUGAUCACAUCUCCAAAAUGGGAUCCAGCUCCCAGCUCUCCAUGAGCCUGCCAUGAGCAAGGCAGGAUUUGCCCUUUUGCUCCAUAAGAUGGCCUACGCAGACAGACCUGUUUGUUUAGCAGAGCAUUCCAACUAAAUGAUACCAACAACGUUAAGUAAUGAACUUUGCUAAUAGAUUUUGAUGAAUUUCAAAGGCCAAUUAAACCAAGAAGAGCACAAAGUAGCGUCGUAUAAAUAUUUAAUGUAAACUUAUGGAUUACACUGUUCUGGUGACUGCUGUCAGAGGCACUUUGAAACCACAUGUGGCUCGUGAUAGCAAGACAGAGCCAGUUGCAGCCAGAGAUGAGUUCAGACUCCUCUAAUAAACACCCCUCCUGGGAUCACUUUCAAGUGCUAAAAUUUUAUGAGUAGCUAAAAAAUGAGAGUUCUGCAGUCAACAAUAAGCAUCGUUGUAUUUCCUCUCUGCCCUAAUGAAAGUGAUGGAAUAUACAUUUUUAGUUGCAAAAACAAAGAUAACGUGGUUUUGAGAGACAAACGACAAGCAAAGCAAAAUGUUCUCAUGGAAAGGGAGCCUUUGUAGCCAGCAUUGGUCUCCAGAUGCUCUCAGAGCAAUGGGUUUGGAAGGAAGCUCAAUGUACCAGCUGCUGUCAGUGACGUGUGUCUGGGCUGGAGCUGCUGCUACUGGGCUCCAUGGUACACAAAUGGAUUGAUCUCUGCGUGUGCCAUGGGCGCUGGAGAGAACAACGUGUUCUGCCCUUGGGUUUGAUGAGCUGGUGCUGCUGGCAUGGCCAUGAAACCCCUGCGGUAAGUGCCUACUGGGCUGUGCUCAUCCUCCUUGAUUCGCUGCCCCCCUCUUCUCAUUUCAGCCAUCAGCCAUAGGGGUUGCUCUCAGGAUGGGGUAAUUUUGCUGGUUGUGCAAGGUGGGAUCCAUGCAGUGAGGUGAUCCAUGGGCAGGACUUUCUUUCCCUUGGAUUAAGUUGAAGCUAUCACACUGGUAGAAGUCAACAAAGCACAGGGAGAGAAGGGCAUGAAGAAACCGUAUGCCAAUUAGAAGAUGGUCUGAGUGACCCAUUUGCUCAACUAAAAUCAGUGGGAGAGGCAGUUUCUAGCACUCCCCACACAGCACAGUUUUCCAUCCAGAAAUGUAAGGCCACUGAAGCUGAGCCCCUUUUUCAAGCAGGGAUGCUGAGGGCAGAGGUGCAGAAGAAGCUGUCAGCAUGGCUCCUGCCUGCUGACUCCCAUUGCAUCCUCCCUCAUCACACAGGGAACGUGGCCAGGAGCAGGUUUCCUGCAUGGAAGUCAGGGCUGUGUCUGGUGUGGCUCCCUAAUGGAAUUUGGAUUCAUGCAGCCAGUAACGAGCACUUGAGGACAGCAUCUCUGCAUCUAUUAGUCCUCCCUUGGUAAGAAAGAACUAUAAUUUGGUUCCCAGAUCUCUCUCUUCAUGAUAGAUUGAGGAGAACAAAACCAAACCAAAUCCAACCUAUAUCACAAGUCUCUGUUGUCACAGGCAGCUUUUCCCAGGCUCACCUCAGCGUUUCAUGAGUGGCAAUGUCUUAGCAUAGAAUCACAGAAUCAUCAGAGUUGGAAGGGACCCUUAAAGGCCAUCCAGUCCAGCUCCCCUGCAGUGAACAGGAACACCCACAGCUCUGCCAGGUUGCCCUAAUAUUAAUAUAAUAAUAAAAUAAUAAAAGGUAAAAAUGGCAAUUUGCAGGUAAAAAGACCCCUAAGCACUCGCAACAAUGGCAAC
Gallus gallus (chicken) is the source of this 4266-nucleotide long non-coding RNA. The record is from Ensembl. Lineage: Eukaryota; Metazoa; Chordata; Aves; Galliformes; Phasianidae.